RNAcentral lists this ribosomal RNA (489 nucleotides) under Bemisia tabaci. RNAcentral describes it as "partial 16S ribosomal RNA". The stretch from base 2 to 150 matches the Rfam family "Archaeal large subunit ribosomal RNA", at positions 1889 to 2083 of the family's 2987-position model. Lineage: Eukaryota; Metazoa; Arthropoda; Insecta; Hemiptera; Aleyrodidae. The record is from RNAcentral.
UCGCCUGUUUAACAAAAACAUAGUUUAAAGAAAAAAAAUUUUAGAUAAAUUCUGCUCAAUGAGUAAGUUAAAUAGCUGCAGUAAAUUAACUGUACUAAGGUAGCAUAAUAAGUUGCUUUAUAAUUAAAAGCUUGAAUGAAAGAAAUAAUGUGAAAGAAGCUUUUUAAACUAAAAUAGUGAAAAUUAAUAUUUAAGUGAAAAAUCUUAAAUAGAAUCAAAAGACAAGAAGACCCUUUAGAACUUUACAAAUUGAUUUAAUAUCAUUUAGUUAAUUUGUUAAAUUGGGGAGAUUUUUAAAUAAAUAAAUCUUUAGAUAUAAAAAAAUGAUUUAAAUCAGAUUAAAUUAUCCAAAUGUGAAAUAAAACAAGUUACCUAAGGGAUAACAGCGCAAAAUUUUUGAGAAGUUCUCAUUUACAAAAUAAAUUGCGACCUCGAUGUUGGAUUAAGAACAACUUAUAAAGAAAAAUUUAUAAGAGUGGUCGUCGCCCU